This 2756-nucleotide ribosomal RNA is filed under the name Staphylococcus aureus M0601. Its description in RNAcentral is "bacterial LSU rRNA". It matches the Rfam family "Bacterial large subunit ribosomal RNA". The record is from RNAcentral. Lineage: Bacteria; Bacillati; Bacillota; Bacilli; Caryophanales; Staphylococcaceae.
UUAAGUUAUUAAGGGCGCACGGUGGAUGCCUUGGCACUAGAAGCCGAUGAAGGACGUUACUAACGACGAUAUGCUUUGGGGAGCUGUAAGUAAGCUUUGAUCCAGAGAUUUCCGAAUGGGGAAACCCAGCAUGAGUUAUGUCAUGUUAUCGAUAUGUGAAUACAUAGCAUAUCAGAAGGCACACCCGGAGAACUGAAACAUCUUAGUACCCGGAGGAAGAGAAAGAAAAUUCGAUUCCCUUAGUAGCGGCGAGCGAAACGGGAAGAGCCCAAACCAACAAGCUUGCUUGUUGGGGUUGUAGGACACUCUAUACGGAGUUACAAAGGACGACAUUAGACGAAUCAUCUGGAAAGAUGAAUCAAAGAAGGUAAUAAUCCUGUAGUCGAAAAUGUUGUCUCUCUUGAGUGGAUCCUGAGUACGACGGAGCACGUGAAAUUCCGUCGGAAUCUGGGAGGACCAUCUCCUAAGGCUAAAUACUCUCUAGUGACCGAUAGUGAACCAGUACCGUGAGGGAAAGGUGAAAAGCACCCCGGAAGGGGAGUGAAAUAGAACCUGAAACCGUGUGCUUACAAGUAGUCAGAGCCCGUUAAUGGGUGAUGGCGUGCCUUUUGUAGAAUGAACCGGCGAGUUACGAUUUGAUGCAAGGUUAAGCAGUAAAUGUGGAGCCGUAGCGAAAGCGAGUCUGAAUAGGGCGUUUAGUAUUUGGUCGUAGACCCGAAACCAGGUGAUCUACCCUUGGUCAGGUUGAAGUUCAGGUAACACUGAAUGGAGGACCGAACCGACUUACGUUGAAAAGUGAGCGGAUGAACUGAGGGUAGCGGAGAAAUUCCAAUCGAACCUGGAGAUAGCUGGUUCUCUCCGAAAUAGCUUUAGGGCUAGCCUCAAGUGAUGAUUAUUGGAGGUAGAGCACUGUUUGGACGAGGGGCCCCUCUCGGGUUACCGAAUUCAGACAAACUCCGAAUGCCAAUUAAUUUAACUUGGGAGUCAGAACAUGGGUGAUAAGGUCCGUGUUCGAAAGGGAAACAGCCCAGACCACCAGCUAAGGUCCCAAAAUAUAUGUUAAGUGGAAAAGGAUGUGGCGUUGCCCAGACAACUAGGAUGUUGGCUUAGAAGCAGCCAUCAUUUAAAGAGUGCGUAAUAGCUCACUAGUCGAGUGACACUGCGCCGAAAAUGUACCGGGGCUAAACAUAUUACCGAAGCUGUGGAUUGUCCUUUGGACAAUGGUAGGAGAGCGUUCUAAGGGCGUUGAAGCAUGAUCGUAAGGACAUGUGGAGCGCUUAGAAGUGAGAAUGCCGGUGUGAGUAGCGAAAGACGGGUGAGAAUCCCGUCCACCGAUUGACUAAGGUUUCCAGAGGAAGGCUCGUCCGCUCUGGGUUAGUCGGGUCCUAAGCUGAGGCCGACAGGCGUAGGCGAUGGAUAACAGGUUGAUAUUCCUGUACCACCUAUAAUCGUUUUAAUCGAUGGGGGGACGCAGUAGGAUAGGCGAAGCGUGCGAUUGGAUUGCACGUCUAAGCAGUAAGGCUGAGUAUUAGGCAAAUCCGGUACUCGUUAAGGCUGAGCUGUGAUGGGGAGAAGACAUUGUGUCUUCGAGUCGUUGAUUUCACACUGCCGAGAAAAGCCUCUAGAUAGAAAAUAGGUGCCCGUACCGCAAACCGACACAGGUAGUCAAGAUGAGAAUUCUAAGGUGAGCGAGCGAACUCUCGUUAAGGAACUCGGCAAAAUGACCCCGUAACUUCGGGAGAAGGGGUGCUCUUUAGGGUUAACGCCCAGAAGAGCCGCAGUGAAUAGGCCCAAGCGACUGUUUAUCAAAAACACAGGUCUCUGCUAAACCGUAAGGUGAUGUAUAGGGGCUGACGCCUGCCCGGUGCUGGAAGGUUAAGAGGAGUGGUUAGCUUCUGCGAAGCUACGAAUCGAAGCCCCAGUAAACGGCGGCCGUAACUAUAACGGUCCUAAGGUAGCGAAAUUCCUUGUCGGGUAAGUUCCGACCCGCACGAAAGGCGUAACGAUUUGGGCACUGUCUCAACGAGAGACUCGGUGAAAUCAUAGUACCUGUGAAGAUGCAGGUUACCCGCGACAGGACGGAAAGACCCCGUGGAGCUUUACUGUAGCCUGAUAUUGAAAUUCGGCACAGCUUGUACAGGAUAGGUAGGAGCCUUUGAAACGUGAGCGCUAGCUUACGUGGAGGCGCUGGUGGGAUACUACCCUAGCUGUGUUGGCUUUCUAACCCGCACCACUUAUCGUGGUGGGAGACAGUGUCAGGCGGGCAGUUUGACUGGGGCGGUCGCCUCCUAAAAGGUAACGGAGGCGCUCAAAGGUUCCCUCAGAAUGGUUGGAAAUCAUUCAUAGAGUGUAAAGGCAUAAGGGAGCUUGACUGCGAGACCUACAAGUCGAGCAGGGUCGAAAGACGGACUUAGUGAUCCGGUGGUUCCGCAUGGAAGGGCCAUCGCUCAACGGAUAAAAGCUACCCCGGGGAUAACAGGCUUAUCUCCCCCAAGAGUUCACAUCGACGGGGAGGUUUGGCACCUCGAUGUCGGCUCAUCGCAUCCUGGGGCUGUAGUCGGUCCCAAGGGUUGGGCUGUUCGCCCAUUAAAGCGGUACGCGAGCUGGGUUCAGAACGUCGUGAGACAGUUCGGUCCCUAUCCGUCGUGGGCGUAGGAAAUUUGAGAGGAGCUGUCCUUAGUACGAGAGGACCGGGAUGGACAUACCUCUGGUGUACCAGUUGUCGUGCCAACGGCAUAGCUGGGUAGCUAUGUGUG